UACGGAGGGUGCGAGCGUUGUCCGGAAUCACUGGGCGUAAAGGGCGUGUAGGCGGGAAGGAAAGUCAGAUGUGAAAUCCCUGGGCUCAACCCAGGAACUGCAUUUGAAACUCCCUUUCUUGAGUGUCGGAGAGGAAAGUGGAAUUCCUGGUGUAGAGGUGAAAUUCGUAGAUAUCAGGAGGAACACCGGUGGCGAAGGCGGCUUUCUGGACGACAACUGACGCUGAGACGCGAAAGCGUGGGGAGCAAACAGG
This 253-nucleotide ribosomal RNA is filed under the name uncultured bacterium. RNAcentral describes it as "partial 16S ribosomal RNA". It matches the Rfam family "Bacterial small subunit ribosomal RNA", at positions 524 to 776 of the family's 1533-position model. The record is from RNAcentral.